AUUGAACGCUGGCGGCAUGCCUUACACAUGCAAGUCGAACGGCAGCACGGGUGCUUGCCCCUGGUGGCGAGUGGCGAACGGGUGAGUAAUACAUCGGAACAUGUCCUGUAGUGGGGUAUAGCCCGGCGAAAGCCGGAUUAAUACCGCAUACGAUCUACGGAUGAAAGCGGGGGACCUUCGGGCCUCGCGCUAUAGGGUUGGCCGAUGGCUGAUUAGCUAGUUGGUGGGGUAAAGGCCUACCAAGGCGACGAUCAGUAGAUGGUCUGAGAGGACGACCAGCCACACUGGGACUGAGACACGGCCCAGACUCCUACGGGAGGCAGCAGUGGGGAAUUUUGGACAAUGGGCGAAAGCCUGAUCCAGCAAUGCCGCGUGUGUGAAGAAGGCCUUCGGGUUGUAAAGCACUUUUGUCCGGAAAGAAAUACUUGGCUCUAAUACAGUCGGGGGAUGACGGUACCGGAAGAAUAAGCACCGGCUAACUACGUG
RNAcentral lists this ribosomal RNA (486 nucleotides) under uncultured bacterium. RNAcentral describes it as "partial 16S ribosomal RNA". It matches the Rfam family "Bacterial small subunit ribosomal RNA", at positions 30 to 507 of the family's 1533-position model. The record is from RNAcentral.